UACGUAGGGUGCAAGCGUUGCCCGGAUUUAUUGGGCGUAAAGGGCGCGUAGGCGGCUGUGCACGUCCGUUGUGAAAUCGCCCGGCUCAACUGGGCGGGGUCAGCGGAUACGGCACAGCUCGAGCAAGCUAGGGGGCAAUGGAAUUCCCGGUGUAGUGGUGGAAUGCGUAGAUAUCGGGAGGAACACCAGUGGCGAAGGCGACUUCCUGGCCUGUUCUUGACGCUGAGGCGCGAAAGCUAGGGGAGCAAACAGG
RNAcentral lists this ribosomal RNA (253 nucleotides) under uncultured bacterium. RNAcentral describes it as "partial 16S ribosomal RNA". It matches the Rfam family "Bacterial small subunit ribosomal RNA", at positions 524 to 776 of the family's 1533-position model. The record is from RNAcentral.